This is a non-coding RNA of Phrynosoma platyrhinos (Desert horned lizard), 72 nucleotides long. The record is from the annotation of a GenBank genome assembly. Lineage: Eukaryota; Metazoa; Chordata; Lepidosauria; Squamata; Phrynosomatidae.
GUCAGCAUAGCACAGUGGUUUCAGUGUUGGACUACAACUCUGAAGAUCAGGGUUUGAUUCCCAGCUUGGCCA